This 809-nucleotide ribosomal RNA is filed under the name uncultured bacterium. Its description in RNAcentral is "bacterial SSU rRNA". It matches the Rfam family "Bacterial small subunit ribosomal RNA", at positions 8 to 796 of the family's 1533-position model. The record is from RNAcentral.
AGAGUUUGAUCCUGGCUCAGAACGAACGCUGGCGGCGUGCCUAACACAUGCAAGUCGAGGGAGAAAGCCCGCAAGGGUGAGUAAACCGGCGAACGGGUGCGUAACACGUGGAUAAUCUACCUUCCUGACUGGGACAACUGGCCGAAAGGCUUGCUAAUACCAGAUAAGCCCACGGGCGCUUCGGCGCCUGAGGGAAAAGGUGGCCUCUGCAUGCAAGCUAUCGCAGGGAGAUGAGUCCGCGGCCCAUCAGCUAGUUGGCGGGGUAAAAGCCCACCAAGGCUACGACGGGUAGCUGGUCUGAGAGGAUGAUCAGCCACACUGGAACUGAGACACGGUCCAGACUCCUACGGGAGGCAGCAGUGGGGAAUCUUGCGCAAUGGGCGAAAGCCUGACGCAGCAACGCCGCGUGUGUGAUGAAGGUCUUCGGAUCGUAAAGCACUGUCGCGAGGGAAGAUACGCUUCCGCCUAACAUGCGGAGGCUAAGACGGUACCUCGAGAGGAAGCACCGGCUAACUCUGUGCCAGCAGCCGCGGUAAUACAGAGGGUGCGAGCGUUGUUCGGAAUUAUUGGGCGUAAAGCGCUUGUAGGCGGCCUGUCAAGUCGCGUGUGAAAUCCCCUGGCUUAACCAGGGAAGUGCGCGCGAAACUGGCGGGCUUGAGUGCCGGAGAGGGUCGCGGAAUUCCCGGUGUAGAGGUGAAAUUCGUAGAUAUCGGGAGGAACACCAGUGGCGAAGGCGGCGACCUGGACGGACACUGACGCUGAGACGCGAAAGCGUGGGGAGCAAACAGGAUUAGAUACCCCCGUAGUCC